Molecule: ribosomal RNA, 648 nt
Filed under: Triticum aestivum (bread wheat)
Lineage: Eukaryota; Viridiplantae; Streptophyta; Magnoliopsida; Poales; Poaceae
Description: partial small subunit ribosomal RNA
Source: RNAcentral
CAAGUUGGAGUGGUUCUUAAGCUUGAUUUCGAGAAGGCCUAUGACAAAGUCAACUGGGAUUUUCUACUUGACUGUCAUAAGAAGCGUGGGUUUAAUCCUAAGUGGUGUGGUUGGGUCUCUCACAUUCUAAAAAAUGGCAGGGUUAGUGUUAAGAUCAAUUAUGAGGUGGGGGCUUAUAUCCAAAGUGCUAAGGGAGUAAGACAGGGGGACCCUCACUCCCCCUUCCUGUUCAAUCUUGCAGCUGAUUGCCUGACUAAAAUGGUGCUUGCAGCUCAGAAGAAUGGCCUUGUCAAAGGUUUAGCUGCUGACCUUAUUGAGGAUGGGGUUGGCAUCCUGCAAUAUGCUGAUGAUACGGUGUUGUGCUUUGAGCAUGAUGUUGACAAAGCUGUCAACAUCAAACUCUUGUUGUAUCUCUUCGAGCUUAUGUCAGGACUUAAGAUCAACUUUGAGAAGAGCGAAAUUUUCAGUAUUGGGGGAGAUAAUGAUAUUGACUUGGUUUAUGCGAACAUGUUUGGAUGCCAAGUGGGGACUCUCCCUAUGAAAAAUCUGGGGGUCCCUGUUACCUUCGCUACUCUCAGGAAUGUUGAUCUGGACUUCCUUGAUGGUAAAAUGAUAAAAAAACUCGAUGCCUGGGUGGCUUAUGCGGCA